This 253-nucleotide ribosomal RNA is filed under the name uncultured bacterium. RNAcentral describes it as "partial 16S ribosomal RNA". It matches the Rfam family "Bacterial small subunit ribosomal RNA", at positions 524 to 776 of the family's 1533-position model. The record is from RNAcentral.
UACGUAGGGUGCAAGCGUUAAUCGGAAUUACUGGGCGUAAAGCGUGCGCAGGCGGUUGUGCAAGACAGAUGUGAAAUCCCCGGGCUCAACCUGGGAACUGCAUUUGUGACUGCACGGCUAGAGUGUGUCAGAGGGGGGUAGAAUUCCACGUGUAGCAGUGAAAUGCGUAGAUAUGUGGAGGAAUACCGAUGGCGAAGGCAGCCCCCUGGGAUGACACUGACGCUCAUGCACGAAAGCGUGGGGAGCGAACAGG